This 204-nucleotide ribosomal RNA is filed under the name uncultured bacterium. RNAcentral's name for it is "partial 16S ribosomal RNA". It matches the Rfam family "Bacterial small subunit ribosomal RNA", at positions 524 to 726 of the family's 1533-position model. The record is from RNAcentral.
UACGAAGGGGGCUAGCGUUGCUCGGAAUCACUGGGCGUAAAGGGUGCGUAGGCGGGUCUUUAAGUCAGGGGUGAAAUCCUGGAGCUCAACUCCAGAACUGCCUUUGAUACUGAAGAUCUUGAGUUCGGGAGAGGUGAGUGGAACUGCGAGUGUAGAGGUGAAAAUUCGUAGAUAUUCGCAAGAACACCAGUGGCGAAGGCGGCU